GAUGAACGCUGGCGGCGUGCCUAAUACAUGCAAGUCGAGCGAACGGACGAGAAGCUUGCUUCUCUGAUGUUAGCGGCGGACGGGUGAGUAACACGUGGAUAACCUACCUAUAAGACUGGGAUAACUUCGGGAAACCGGAGCUAAUACCGGAUAAUAUUUUGAACCGCAUGGUUCAAAAGUGAAAGACGGUCUUGCUGUCACUUAUAGAUGGAUCCGCGCUGCAUUAGCUAGUUGGUAAGGUAACGGCUUACCAAGGCAACGUUGCAUAGCCGACCUGAGAGGGUGAUCGGCCACACUGUAACGGAGACACGGUCCAGACUCCUACGUGAGGCCGCAGUAGGGAAUCUUCCGCAAUGGGCGAAAGCCUGACGGAGCAACGCCGCGUGAGUGAUGAAGGUCUUCGGAUCGUAAAACUCUGUUAUUAGGGAAGAACAUAUGUGUAAGUAACUGUGCACAUCUUGACGGUACCUAAUCAGAAAGCCACGGCUAACUACGUG
Molecule: ribosomal RNA, 497 nt
Filed under: uncultured bacterium
Lineage: Bacteria
Description: partial 16S ribosomal RNA
Rfam family: Bacterial small subunit ribosomal RNA
Source: RNAcentral